UACAUGGGGUGCAAACGUUGCUCGGAAUCAUUGGGCGUAAAGCGCGCGUAGGCGGUUGCUUAUGUCGGAUGUGAAAGCCCUCGGCUUAACUGAGGAAGUGCAUCCGAAACUGGGCAGCUAGAGUACGAAAGAGGGUCGCGGAAUUCCCGGUGUAGAGGUGAAAUUCGUAGAUAUCGGGAGGAACACCGGUGGCGAAGGCGGCGACCUGGGUCGAGACUGACGCUGAGGCGCGAAAGCUAGGGGAGCAAACGGG
Molecule: ribosomal RNA, 253 nt
Filed under: uncultured bacterium
Lineage: Bacteria
Description: partial 16S ribosomal RNA
Rfam family: Bacterial small subunit ribosomal RNA
Source: RNAcentral